UCGACCAACCAAGAAGUAAUUGCUUCACAGAAAUUCUGUCGAUGGCUAUGGCGAAAUUUGAGAAGAAUUAGUAGAUGACCGAGAAAGAAAGAAAGAUUACACAAAGUUUUGAACUGAUUCAACUCAAUACGAACUUACGUUCACUGUGCCAAAGGGAGCAACAAUACGCAUUUAUUCAAAAGGGAAAUUUUACAGAGGUUCUGAGAAUCCAAUAAUCUCCGAUCAUUUUACAAAUUUCAUUCUUGGAAUCAGUUUAUCAUGUCCGCUGCAUUUUUUUGAGUCAUACAGAGCCCACAACUUUUGGAUUUUCACGCGGAGAAUACCAAUGUAUCUCUUCUGGUGGCGUUCUAGUUUCGUUCGAGGUUCGGGGAUCUAAUUGAACUUGAUUGUGAUCAAGGUUCAUCCAGUCAUCCGUUGAGAUAGUGUUCUGAUCGUUGCAUUCAAGUUCGUGCUAUUAAACCAGUUGCUGAACGAUCAAGGGAUACUUGAAGAAAGGUUCUUCAAAGUUCACUUCGAGGAAGAAGAAAACCAAGCAUUGGUCGUAUCGUGUAGCCCAGGCUAAAUGAUCAUUUAGAUUUGGCUAAACGAUCGAGUAGAAAAGUUCUAAGGCAGCCCCGUGAUACUAUAUGCUUUAUAGAAAAUAAGGCACUCUAUCUUACAAUGCCAAGCAUGGUGCCAUAGGGCAUCACGAUGUUGUUCAAGCAAGGGCAAAAUGAUCAUUUUAAACAUUUUCUUUUCCGGUUGAUGUAUUUGAAUCAUGUUAUGGCCUAUUUUAGCUUCUUUUGUCACUAACAUUCGACUCUACCUCUUAAAUUCUCAAAACCUAUCAAAUCACCAAAUAAACACAUAAAAUUUAAGAACAAUCUUCAAUUAAGUCGUUUAAGAUAGUACAUUUUCGAUGCAAUCAUCCAUCUUGUCCUAUGUGUUGUUCUACCAAAUGUUGGACUCUCCCAAUGUAUCCUCUGUCUAGAAAUACUUUUGCUUAUAGGAUUUUUUUUGUGUGAUUAUUGUUAAGGUUUUUUUUUUCCUUCUCUGGGUGUCGACUGGUUGUGGGGUUUGUCUGACUCUUCCCUUUUUGUUGAGCAUAUAUUUGGGAUCAUAUUCUUCAUUUCAGGGUUAUCACUUUUAUAGAAGUUUGUGCCACUCUUUGUGUUUGCAGAAAAGCAAGUGUGUCAAUUUGAUCCAUUGUGUAGUGAAGGUUUUGUAGGUUUCAAAGUUGUUAUUCUUAUAAAGGGAUUCUCAUACUGCGGGAGAGUCUAAGUUUUCUAAAUGAAGAGUUUUUCAUUUAAAAUCGGGAAAGAUCGAAGUUAUUAUUAAGAGAGAGUCUCACAUUUGUUGAGAGCUUAAGUAUUCUUUCACAAAGUUAUGAUGUUUAUGUGUAGAAACUUUGAAUUUAUAGAUAAGUACAAUAUUGUAAUUGCUUAAUUAUUUAUUAG
Benincasa hispida (wax gourd) is the source of this 1436-nucleotide long non-coding RNA. RefSeq lists it as uncharacterized. The record is from RefSeq and is a predicted model, not a curated record. NCBI's taxonomy places the organism in Eukaryota, Viridiplantae, Streptophyta, Magnoliopsida, Cucurbitales, Cucurbitaceae.